ACCUGAUCCCGUGCCCUUCUCCUCUUCCCUGUGUUUUCCCGAUCUCCUUCUUUCCCCGACUCUUCUCGCUGUUCUCUCUCGCGGACGAGCGACGUCAACGGGAGCGAGGCACUAGCUCUGGCGAUCUUUCUCCGCUGGCGUUGACAUCCAUUGAGCGUCGAUCCAACCGAAGCCCUUCUCUCUCGUGGAUGGUUCGACGACCCCUUGGUGGCUAGGGCACGGUGAGGAACAAGGUUCGCGUCAUCUCCCAACCUACCGACUCCCUCAUUCAUCUUUCUCGAGUUGCUCACGAAGCGAUCCGAGUCUUCUCUAGCCGGAUCGGACAGCAACACCAUCGGGAGGUGAUCCAGAGAGGUCACGGGUUGGGUGAAUUCUUUGGAGACAACCGAAUGAGGAGGAGAGGUUCUGUUCUUGCUGUGGUGUUCUACAAUCCAGCAACGUUUCCUUCCGGUAGCAACCAUCUACGAUUGAGGAUCAACAAAGAGUGAAUUGUUGAUCUCUUCUCUUGAUCCGAUCAGUGAGGACACUGAUUCGAGACAGGCGUCUCGACGUUGGAUUUGACGUGAUACUAUAUGCUAUUUGAGGCGGGUACCCUUUGACUUAUCUUUUUGAUAUUGUCUUAUGAUAUGUGUAGUUUAUAUAUAAUUACUAGUGGUAGUUGGUAGUUUAUCACUUCCCUGGUUAUAGUUUAUUCGAUACCUGUAGGCGGUUACUGGUGAUUGAUAGGUUAGCACAUUCCCUUGGUUUUAGUUUAGUUGAUACCUGAUACAUACUUCUACUGUUAUUUGCUAUACACUAGUCUGAUAUACUUUUAUGUCGUGCCAUGCGUAUCUGUGUUUAUUAAGUUAGAUGUAUUUAUAGUGCUUCACCAUACUGGAUUAGUUGCCAUAUAUGUUUGAUACGUGUCCUUGGAUUCAUGAUACUUAUAUCAUUGUUAUAUGUGGUGUUCUUGGAUUUAUGCUGCUUAUAUCAUGGUUAUAUAUAUAUAUAUAUAUAUGCGUUUACCUUUUUGGCACGCACAUAUAUGGA
Molecule: long non-coding RNA, 1029 nt
Organism: Zingiber officinale
Lineage: Eukaryota; Viridiplantae; Streptophyta; Magnoliopsida; Zingiberales; Zingiberaceae
Exons: 4
Source: RefSeq, a predicted model, not a curated record